This is a long non-coding RNA of Carassius gibelio (silver crucian carp), 2141 nucleotides long. RefSeq lists it as uncharacterized. Lineage: Eukaryota; Metazoa; Chordata; Actinopteri; Cypriniformes; Cyprinidae. The transcript has 3 exons. The record is from RefSeq and is a predicted model, not a curated record.
GUCUGCUUCAAUGACACAACAAACCAGGUGUUUCACUCUUCUUCACGAUACUUGACUGUUGUCUUCAGGAAUGAAGUGUCUGGUGUCAGCCAUGGUUUUAAGGCUCUAUUUACAAGCUCUCUGACUUAAGAUGAAGGUUGUGUGGAUUGUUCCUCAGACAACAUGGUCAUUGUCAUUCAGAGAUCUUACCUGAAUUCACUUGGGUUGAAUGGAAAUGACCUUUAUGUUGACGACCAUCUUUGCAGACCCAACAUUAGCAGUACUGAAGUUGUUUUCAGCUUCCCACUUGCAUGUGGAACCACCAAACAGAUGGAUUUCAACAGUUUCUAUGGUACAAGAACUUUAGGCCCAUGUAACAGGAAACCGCAAGGACUCUGAUGCUGAUCUCAGCUAUGUUGAUGACCCAAUAAAGUUCUCAAAUCUGUCCUGGAGUACCCCCAGCCCUGCACAUUUUUUAUGUCUCCUUCACAGUCAAGGAUAUUGUGGCUACUAAGAUUGCACCUAAAUCAACAAUUUAUAGGUUCAUCAAGAACUUCAAGGAAAGAGGUUCAAUUCUUGUAAAGAAGGCUUCAGGGCGUUCCAAGAAAGUCCAGCAAGCGCCAGGAUCGUCUCCUGAAGAGGAUUCAGCUGCGGGAUCGGAGUGCCACCAGUGCAGAGCUUGCUCAGGAAUGGCAGCAGGCAGGUGUGAGCGCAUCUGCACGCACAGUGAGGCGAAGACUUUUGGAAGAUUGGUCUGGUGUCAAGAAGGGCAGCAAAGAAGCCCCUUCUCUCCAAAAACAAAUCAGGUACAGAUUGAUCUUCUGCAGAAAGUAUAGUGAAUGGACUGCUGAGGACUGGGGCAAAGUAAUAUUCUCAGAUGAAGCCCCUUUCCGAUUGUUUGGGGCAUCUGGAAAAAGGCUUGUCGGGAGAAGAGAAGGUGAGCACUAACAUCAGUCCUGUGUCAUGCCAACAGUAAAGCAUCCUGACACCAUUCAUGUGUGGGGUUGCUUCUCAUCCGAGGGAGUGGGCUCACUCACAAUUCUGCCCAAAAACACAGCCAUGAAUAAAAAAUGGUACCAAAACACCCUCCAACAGCAACUUCUUCCAACAAUCCAACAACAGUUUGGUGAAGAACAAUGCAUUUUCCAGCACGAUGGAGCACCGUGCCAUAAGGCAAAAGUGAUAACUAAGUGGCUCGGGGAUCAGAAUGUUGAAAUUUUGGGUUCCAUGGCCUGGAAACUCCCCAGAUCUUAAUCCCAUUGAGAACUUGUGGUCAAUCCUCAAGAGGCGGGUGGACAAACAAAAACCCACUAAUUCUGACAAACUCCAAGAAGUGAUUAUGAAAGAAUAGGUUGCUAUCAGUCAGGAUUUGUCCCAGAAGUUGAUUGAGAGCAUGCCCAGUCGAAUUGCAGAGGUCCUAAAAAAGAAGGGCCAACACGACUCUUUGCAUAAAUGUCAUGUAAUUGUCGAUAAAAGCCUUGCAAACGUAUGAAGUGCUUGUAAUUAUAUUUCAGUACAUCACAGAAACAACUGAAACAAAGAUCUAAAAGCAGUUUAGCAGAAAACUUUUUGAAAACUAAUAUUUAUGUAAUUCUCAAAACUUUAGUGCUGGGGGUACUUCAUGGAGAGGUUUGAGAACCACUGACAUGGAGCCCCCUUCCUCAAAUCUUGCCCUGGAGGUCAAAUGUACUGCAGAGUUUAGCUCCAACCCUGAUCAAAUUCACCUACCUGUGAUUUUCUAAUGAUCCCAAAUACAUUGAUUGCCAUUGAUUAGCAUGCUCAGGUGUGUUUGAUUAGAGUUAGAUCUAAACUCUGCAGGAAAGUGGAUCUUGAGGUCUAGAUAUGAGGAACCCGGAUAUAGAAGGAUCUGGAUUAUCACCCCGUCUGAGAAGAGGUAGCUGGUGACAGUUCUUUUGAGCUCCUGGAUGAAGAUGAUGCUCCCUCAACAGGCAAAUCCUCUACUAAGAUUCCAUGUUCGAAAAGAAGAAAAGGCAAACACACUAUAAAAACAGUUUCAUUGUAGGAGCCAGAGGAUACCCCUGGCUCAAGACUUACACUGCACAGCAUUUAUUGUUUACAAAGAAAUGUUCAUUUUUCUACAAAAAUAAAUAAAUAAAAUCCAGUUGCACUACCACACUUGACAACAUGUUUCUUGAAUCAUA